UACAGAGGGUGCAAGCGUUAAUCGGAAUUACUGGGCGUAAAGCGUGCGUAGACGGUUAUGUAAGUCGGGUGUGAAAGCCCCGGGCUCAACCUGGGAAUUGCAUUCGAGACUGCAUAGCUAGGGUGCGGAAGAGGGAAGCGGAAUUUCCGGUGUAGCGGUGAAAUGCGUAGAUAUCGGAAGGAACACCAGUGGCGAAAGCGGCUUCCUGGUCCAGCACCGACGUUCAGGCACGAAAGCGUGGGGAGCAAACAGG
Molecule: ribosomal RNA, 253 nt
Filed under: uncultured bacterium
Lineage: Bacteria
Description: partial 16S ribosomal RNA
Rfam family: Bacterial small subunit ribosomal RNA
Source: RNAcentral